Molecule: ribosomal RNA, 522 nt
Filed under: uncultured Fidelibacterota bacterium
Lineage: Bacteria; Pseudomonadati; Fidelibacterota
Description: bacterial SSU rRNA
Rfam family: Bacterial small subunit ribosomal RNA
Source: RNAcentral
AGGGUUUGAUCAUGGCUCAGGACGAACGCUGGCGGCGUGCUUGACACAUGCAAGUCUAGGAGAACAUUUCCUUCGGGAAAUUAUUAAACUGGCGAACGGGUGAGUAACACGUAGGCAACCUGCCUUGGAGAUUGGGAUAACCCCGGGAAACCGGGACUAAUACCGGAUAAUGCAGUAUUUUCUUUGGAAAAUUUUGUUAAAGCGGGCUUCGGCUCGCACUUCAAGAUGGGCCUGCGUCCGAUUAGCUUGUUGGUAAGGUAACGGCUUACCAAGGCUAUGAUCGGUAGCUGGUCUGAGAGGAUGAUCAGCCACACUGGGAUUGAGAUACGGCCCAGACUCCUACGGGAGGCAGCAGUGAGGAAUUUUGCGCAAUGGGCGAAAGCCUGACGCAGCAACGCCGCGUGAUCGAUGACGCUUCUAGGAGUGUAAAGAUCUGUCGUGAGGGAAGAAAAACUUGGAUGUAAAUAAUGUUCAGGCUUGACGGUACCUCACAAGAAAGCACCGGCUAACUUCGUGCCAGCC